AUUGAACGCUGGCGGCAUGCCUUACACAUGCAAGUCGAACGGUAACAGGUCUUCGGAUGCUGACGAGUGGCGAACGGGUGAGUAAUACAUCGGAACGUGCCUAGUAGUGGGGGAUAACUACUCGAAAGAGUGGCUAAUACCGCAUGAGAUCUACGGAUGAAAGCAGGGGAUCGCAAGACCUUGUGCUACUAGAGCGGCCGAUGGCAGAUUAGGUAGUUGGUGGGAUAAAAGCUUACCAAGCCGACGAUCUGUAGCUGGUCUGAGAGGACGAUCAGCCACAGGGGGACUGAGAAACGGCCCAGACUCCUACGGGAGGCAGCAGUGGGGAAUUUUGGACAAUGGGCGCAAGCCUGAUCCAGCAAUGCCGCGUGCAGGAUGAAGGCUUUCGGGUUGUAAACUGCUUUUGUACGGAACGAAAAGCCCCGGGUUAAUACCCUGGGGUCAUGACGGUACCGUAAGAAUAAGCACCGGCUAACUACGUGCCAGCCGCCACAGUAA
This 498-nucleotide ribosomal RNA is filed under the name uncultured bacterium. RNAcentral describes it as "partial 16S ribosomal RNA". It matches the Rfam family "Bacterial small subunit ribosomal RNA", at positions 30 to 523 of the family's 1533-position model. The record is from RNAcentral.